UAGGGAAUCUUCCGCAAUGGGCGAAAGCCUGACGGAGCAACGCCGCGUGAGUGAUGAAGGUCUUCGGAUCGUAAAACUCUGUUAUUAGGGAAGAACAAAUGUGUAAGUAACUAUGCACGUCUUGACGGUACCUAAUCAGAAAGCCACGGCUAACUACGUGCCAGCAGCCGCGGUAAUACGUAGGUGGCAAGCGUUAUCCGGAAUUAUUGGGCGUAAAGCGCGCGUAGGCGGUUUUUUAAGUCUGAUGUGAAAGCCCACGGCUCAACCGUGGGGGGUCAUUGGAAACUGGAAAACUUGAGUGCAGAAGAGGAAAGUGGAAUUCCAUGUGUAGCGGUGAAAUGCGCAGAGAUAUGGAGGAACACCAGUGGCGAAGGCGACUUUCUGGUCUGUAACUGACGCAAAUGUGCGAAAGCGUGGGGAUCAAACAGG
RNAcentral lists this ribosomal RNA (429 nucleotides) under Actinomycetes bacterium. RNAcentral describes it as "Actinobacteria bacterium partial 16S ribosomal RNA". It matches the Rfam family "Bacterial small subunit ribosomal RNA", at positions 355 to 776 of the family's 1533-position model. The record is from RNAcentral. Lineage: Bacteria; Bacillati; Actinomycetota; Actinomycetes.